This 73-nucleotide transfer RNA is filed under the name Corynebacterium phage P1201. It matches the Rfam family "tRNA". From Rfam's summary of the family: Transfer RNA (tRNA) molecules are approximately 80 nucleotides in length. Their secondary structure includes four short double-helical elements and three loops (D, anti-codon, and T loops). Further hydrogen bonds mediate the characteristic L-shaped molecular structure. tRNAs have two regions of fundamental functional importance: the anti-codon, which is responsible for specific mRNA codon recognition, and the 3' end, to which the tRNAs corresponding amino acid is attached (by aminoacyl-tRNA synthetases). tRNAs cope with the degeneracy of the genetic code in two manners: having more than one tRNA (with a specific anti-codon) for a particular amino acid; and 'wobble' base-pairing, i.e. permitting non-standard base-pairing at the 3rd anti-codon position. Lineage: Duplodnaviria; Heunggongvirae; Uroviricota; Caudoviricetes; Zierdtviridae. The record is from Rfam by way of RNAcentral.
GCCCUGGUAGCUCAAUGGAUAGAGCAGAGGAGUCCUAAUCCUCAGGUUGGAGGUUCGAAUCCUCUCUAGGGCG